Long non-coding RNA from Sarcophilus harrisii (Tasmanian devil), 661 nucleotides. RefSeq lists it as uncharacterized. The record is from RefSeq and is a predicted model, not a curated record. The transcript is spliced from 3 exons. Lineage: Eukaryota; Metazoa; Chordata; Mammalia; Dasyuromorphia; Dasyuridae.
GAACCAGGAGGAACCUAUGAGUGGAUAUGAGUGGGAUGGGAUCCAUGACCUCAUCAGUAUAAGGAACUACUGGAACAAGGACCCACAGUUUAGGAAGAACGUUGACGAGAUUAAAGAGGUGAAGGUCUGGAAACCACCGGAUAGAUUGAAGCAACCGGCUUGACAUGCAACGAUGGAUGAAGAAACUGAGACCCAGUAUCACAGAACUCAAAGGCAAGAAUUGGAGUCAGAAUUACAACAAAAGUCUCCUAGAUUACAAAUCCAAAUCUUUCCCCUAUAUCCCCUCCUCCCAAGUCUCAGAAAGGUGAUCUUUCUGCCAGAUAGGAUCUUAGAAGAAUGAGCCUAAAAUUCUCUUUGAUUCACUUUGCCCAAGGCUCACCUCAGGCCUUGGAAUAAAAGCCUCCACUUUCAGCUCUGGAGCUGCUGGUAUAGAUAUUUAUAGAGAUGAAGAGAUGUCUUCUCCAGGAAAAUGUGAAGGACACACGUGGAAUCUGGAGUCAUCUUAAUUUGAACUCAGUCUCUUCUUGCUAGGAAAGUGAACUCCUUAGCCCUGACUUCAUUCAGGCUAUUUUCAAGAAGCAUUAUAAAUAAGUGCCCUAGCAAAGAAUUGGAAAAGGAGUGGAUGCCCAUCAAUUGGGGAAUGGCAAACAAGUUAUGGUAU